UACGAAGGGGGCUAGCGUUGCUCGGAUUGACUGGGCGUAAAGGGCGCGUAGGCGGUUUGUACAGUCAGACGUGAAAUUCCUGGGCUCAACCUGGGGGCUGCAUUUGAUACGUAUGGACUGGAGUGAGGAAGAGGGUCGUGGAAUUCCCAGUGUAGAGGUGAAAUUCGUAGAUAUUGGGAAGAACACCGGUGGCGAAGGCGGCGACCUGGUCCUUUACUGACGCUGAGGCGCGAAAGCGUGGGGAGCAAACAGG
RNAcentral lists this ribosomal RNA (253 nucleotides) under uncultured bacterium. Its description in RNAcentral is "partial 16S ribosomal RNA". It matches the Rfam family "Bacterial small subunit ribosomal RNA", at positions 524 to 776 of the family's 1533-position model. The record is from RNAcentral.